This 401-nucleotide ribosomal RNA is filed under the name uncultured bacterium. Its description in RNAcentral is "bacterial SSU rRNA". It matches the Rfam family "Bacterial small subunit ribosomal RNA", at positions 356 to 773 of the family's 1533-position model. The record is from RNAcentral.
UAGGAACCUUGGGCAAUGGGCGAAAGCCUGACCCAGCAACGCCGCGUGGGUGACGAAGGCCUUCGGGUCGUAAAGCCCUUUUGCACGGGAAGAUGAUGACGGUACCGUGCGAAUAAGCCCCGGCUAACUACGUGCCAGCAGCCGCGGUAAUACGUAGGGGGCGAGCGUCGUCCGGAUUUAUUGGGCGUAAAAGGCUUGUAGGUGGCCACGCCAAGUCGGCUGUGAAAUCUCCCGGCUCAACUGGGAGGGGUCAGUCGAUACUGGCGGGCUCGAGGCCGGUAGGGGGAAGCGGAAUUCCCGGUGUAGUGGUGGAAUGCGUAGAUAUCGGGAGGAACACCAGUGGCGAAGGCGGCUUCCUGGGCCGGUUCUGACACUGAGGAGCGAAAGCGUGGGGAGCGAUC